GCACAAGAGAGGCUGGCAUAGCUCUACCUUGAGUUGCACCUCCCUCCCUCCUUCUGUCAUGUCGUCCAUUGAAGAGCUCAAGGUGGUGCGGUUGUUUCGCGCACUCAACACGAUCAUCCAACUCUGCCACGACCGCGGCUACGUCAUUCGACACCCGUCGGCGAUCGCCGAGGCGGUGCAGAACCCCGAGCUCUACGACGACGAAGAGGGGCUCGACCAUGACUGGUUCUUGCGGCACUUCGUCAUCUCGCCGGGCCGCGCGGCGCGCAGCACACGCGCGAAGCAAAGCGGCGAUGGCGGCAGCAGAAGCGGCCCCGGGCGUGCAGCGAAGAACGAGGAAGAUGGCGGCGGCGCCGACAAGCCGGGCGAGUAUGAUGUGGCAGUGGACGAAGAUGAGGUGCUUCGUCGUGCAGCCAACGGAGAGUGGGUGUGCAUGCGCAACGCCAUGCGGCUGACGUGCUCCGUGGACCCACGCCGCGCAACACUGGCGUCGAGCGUCGUCACGGGGGCACCAACGAACAAGGCGCCCUCUUCUGCGCCUGUCGUGAAGGCGGAGCCGAAGGAUGACGGCGGCGGCGUGCCCUACGCUGUGGCAGCGGCUGCGGUGGACGCGAAGUCGAAGGAGAAGGCGGCCAAGAACGCCCUCAUGGUCUUCUUCUCGGGUUCACCGAAGCUGAGCAUAAAGGAGGUGCAUUCGUUCCGCGAAAAGGCGCUCAAGAAGAUGGCGUCAUCGAUGAUCAUCGUGACGAACAAGAUCGACCCCGGUGUGCGCAUGGAUGUGCAGGAGCUCAGUGGUCGAAUGGAUGAGGCCACAGGAGCGGAGCUGCUCUCCAUCCAAGUCUUCGAGGAGGAGGCGCUGGCAUUCAACGUCGUGCGCCACGAAACGGUACCGCGCCACGUCGCCCUCACGCCCGCUGAGGCCGAGGCGUUCCUGGCGGAGCGGAAGCUAAACGUUGCCCAGCUACCCCGCAUGCAAGAGAGUGACCCUCUGGUCCAGUACCUUGGCCUGCAGCGCGGCAGCAUCGUCCACAUCACACGCGAAGGCAAGCAGAGCGGCCCGUACAGCAUGUACCGGCACGUGAUUUGAGGCCGCGUGUCUGCGAACGCACAUGUGCGUGACUUGUCCUCUCUCUUUCGUCGUGUCUGUGCGUCUCACCGCAUCUUAAUCUUGUUUCUUCACCACCGGUUAAUCAGUGAAGGCACCCGUCAAGUGCCUUGCGUAUGCGUUUCUGGUCCUAAGCUGCCUCACCCCACGCGCAUGCAUGGAUGUGUGGUUACGCCCCAUCGUCGGUGGCUUGCAAGCACGCUUGCCGACAAGGCUGACGCCUCCAAGUGCGGGAAUGCACACGCCGCAUGUCUAUGUGUGCACUGGAGAAAUA
Molecule: unclassified non-coding RNA, 1379 nt
Filed under: Leishmania donovani
Lineage: Eukaryota; Euglenozoa; Kinetoplastea; Trypanosomatida; Trypanosomatidae
Description: gene:LdHU3.18.1040(CDS-product:DNA-directed_RNA_p olymerase_I_subunit_RPB5z_putative)
Source: RNAcentral